RNAcentral lists this ribosomal RNA (1453 nucleotides) under Ichthyobodo necator. Its description in RNAcentral is "SSU rRNA". It matches the Rfam family "Eukaryotic small subunit ribosomal RNA", at positions 495 to 1772 of the family's 1831-position model. Lineage: Eukaryota; Euglenozoa; Kinetoplastea; Prokinetoplastida; Ichthyobodonidae. The record is from RNAcentral.
CUUCGGGUAUGGGAUCGGAAUGAGUGGUAUUUAAAACCACCAACGAGUAACAAUUGGAGGACAAGUCUGGUGCCAGCACCCGCGGUAAUUCCAGCUCCAAUAGCGUAUAUUAAUGUUGUUGCUGUUAAAGGGUUCGUAGUUGAACGCAGGGUUUGGGAGUUGUGUGGCCAUUGUGGCCAUCACGCCAUCCCAUCCCUGUUUUUUAGACGGGAUCGAUUGCCUUGCCUUGGUGGCUCCUUUUUUGGACGUUGCCUUGGCUGUUGAGUGAAGAGCUCAAAUGUACACAUGACCACAUGUUACAGGCCGCCCGUCGUUAUCACUGUGAAGAAAACAGCGUGUUCAAGGCAGCCGCCUCGCGGCUGAAUGACAAAGCAUGGAAUGACAAAGCAUCGACCAAUGGGUCUGGCUUUUGUUGGUUUUUACAACCCAUUUGGACAUUUCGUGAUCGGUAAUCACGAUCCACUUCGGUGGACUCCGAUUCCGAGCAGACACGGGAUUAAUGGGGGUUGUCGGGGGAAAACGUAUCUGAGCGAGAGAGGUGAAAUUCUUAGACCGCUCGGGGACGAACUUAUGCGAAGGCAUUUUCCAAGUAUACCUUCAUCAAUCAAGAACUAAAGUGUGGAGAUCGAAGAUGAUUAGAUACCAUUGUAGUCCACGACUGCAAACGAUGACGCCCAUGGAUCGGGAGUGAAUACUCACCCUCCGCGAUGGGAUUUUUUCGGCGCUGCUCUACCCUAUUAACGCGAAAGCUGAGGCUAUGGUCUCAUGGGGGAGUACGUCCGCAAGGAUGAAACUUAAAGAAAUUGACGGAAUGGCACCACCAGGCGUGGAGUGUGCGGUUUAAUUUGACUCAACACGGGGAACCUUACCAGUACAGGAAAACGCAAGGAUUGACAGAUUGAUAGUUCUUUCUUGAUUCGUUUGACGGUGGUGCAUGGCCGCUUUUGGUCGGUGAAGUGAUUUGUUUGGUUGAUUCCUUUAACGGACGAGACCCAAACCGCUUAAUAGGGGCACCAUCUGCCUUCGGGCAUGCGGGGCUGGGGUGAGAUUUCGGUCUUUGCUCUGGCCUCAGAUGGCGAUACUCCUUCUUCGCGGCAUUCCCUGCUCCUUAGCUGGGUGGAAUUUUGGGCAACAGCAGGUCCGUGAUGCUCCUAAAUGUACUGGGCGACACGCGCACUACAAUGACAAAGUGAAUGAGUGAAACCUUCUUUGGUCCUGCCUCGAAAAGGGGUGGGAAAACUGGAAAAACUAUGUCGUGCUAGGGAUCGAAGCUUGCAAUUAUUCUUCGUGAACGAGGAAUGCCUAGUAGAUGUGCUUCAUCAAAGCGCAUUGACUACGUCCCUGCCAUUUGUACACACCGCCCGUCGUUGUUACCGAUGCCAGUUGGAUACAGGUCAACGGACCUUCUGAUGUCUUCGGUCAUCAGAGGGACAAGUUGCCCCAUGUUUAACUA